This 253-nucleotide ribosomal RNA is filed under the name uncultured bacterium. RNAcentral's name for it is "partial 16S ribosomal RNA". It matches the Rfam family "Bacterial small subunit ribosomal RNA", at positions 524 to 776 of the family's 1533-position model. The record is from RNAcentral.
UACGUGGGGGGCAAGCGUUGUUCGGAAUUACUGGGCGUAAAGGGCGCGUAGGCGGCCUGCUAAGUCGGACGUGAAAUCCCCCGGCUCAACCGGGGAACUGCGUCCGAUACUGGUGGGCUCGAAUCCGGGAGAGGGAUGUGGAAUUCCAGGUGUAGCGGUGAAAUGCGUAGAUAUCUGGAGGAACACCGGUGGCGAAGGCGGCAUCCUGGACCGGCAUUGACGCUGAGGCGCGAAAGCCAGGGGAGCAAACGGG